AGGACACUGGGUAGGGCACUAGCUAGGGCACUAGGAAGGGCACUGGGUAGGGCACUGGGUAGGGUACUAGCUAGGGCACUAGGAAGGGCACUGGGUAGGGUACUAGCUAGGGCACUAGGAAGGGCACUGGGUAGGGCACUAGCUAGGGCACUAGGAAGGGCACUGGGUAGGGCACUGGCUAGGGCACUAGGAAGGGCAUUAGGUAGGGCACUGGGUAGGGCACUAGGUAGGGCACUGGGAAGGGCACUGGGUAGGGCACUAGCUAGGGCACAUUUAUGUUAGACCCUAGGUAGGGAGCACACUUAGUGAGUUAAAUUAAAUUCAAUUAAAAUGAAUUCCCAGAAGGUUUUAUGACCGAAUUAAACACCGCCG
Ictalurus punctatus (channel catfish) is the source of this 372-nucleotide long non-coding RNA. NCBI's taxonomy places the organism in Eukaryota, Metazoa, Chordata, Actinopteri, Siluriformes, Ictaluridae. The record is from Ensembl.